RNAcentral lists this ribosomal RNA (253 nucleotides) under uncultured bacterium. RNAcentral's name for it is "partial 16S ribosomal RNA". It matches the Rfam family "Bacterial small subunit ribosomal RNA", at positions 524 to 776 of the family's 1533-position model. The record is from RNAcentral.
GACAGAGGUUGCAACCGUUGUUCGGAAUUACUGGGCGUAAAGGGCUCGUAGGUGGCCAACUAAGUCGGACGUGAAAUCCCUCGGCUUAACCGGGGAACUGCGUCCGAUACUGGUUGGCUUGAGUUUGGGAGAGGGAUGCGGAAUUCCAGGUGUAGCGGUGAAAUGCGUAGAUAUCUGGAGGAACACCGGUGGCGAAGGCGGCAUCCUGGACCAAUACUGACACUGAGGAGCGAAAGCCAGGGGAGCAAACGGG